AUUCUCUCUUUUUUCUAAAAAAAAAAAUAGCAGUGGAGGUGGAGGAGGAGGGGGAGGAGGAGGAGGAGGAGGAGGAGGAGGAGGAACUGGCCGUCGCCGUGAUUCCUAUUACGACAGAGGAUAUGACAGAGGAUAUGACAGAUAUGAAGAAUAUGAUUAUCGCUACAGGAGGCGAUCACCGUCACCAUAUUAUAGUCGUUACAGAUCAAGAUCAAGAUCUCGUUCCUACAGUCCAAGACGUUAUUAAGAAGAGAAGUUAGUUACAGAGCAAAUACCAUUUUUCAACAGCAUGUUCCGAUCCUAGCUUUUCCUGUUGGUUCCCUGCCAUUAUCCUGUAUCUAAUUAAAAUGUUCCUGGUUAAGAUGUAUUUUCUUUUGAAAUACCCAUUUUCAACUCUUCUUACUGUAAUAUUCCAGGUGUAAUUGUUGUAGUUUUAUGUACUUAAAUAUCUUUAAACAAAAAUUAAUGGGAAUCUAAGAGUGGUAAAAUAUUUUGUAAUUCAUGCAUUUGUUUUUUAAACAAGUGGAUUUUUGUUGACUCUCAUGGAGAAAGAACAUGUGCUAAUGCCUGCAUGUCAUAUUUUCAAUAAAACUCUCAUCUUUAUGGUUUAAAAAAAUCCUCUUGUCCAGUUUGUUUCAUUUUUGUUCACAAUUUUGUUUUGUAAUCUGAAGCCAGAAUUUUCCUGUAUUUUCAUUUUAAUAAUUAAAACAAUAUUGGACUGGAAUCCCUCUGAGGGGAGAAGAAAAACUUCUACCCGACACACUUUCUUUAAUGGGCUUUUGUAAAAUAAUCCCAGUGCUGCUGACAGGAAAAUAAAAUUUGUUUUAAAUACCAGGCUGACCCGCAAAGUAUUCCUCCUAUUUUUAUUAUCCCAUAAUCAGGAUAAGCCUAACUGAGUGAAUAAGAAAUAUUUGAUUUGUUCACACACCUCUGUAUGAAACAAAUUAAGAUGAAGCAGGUUCUAUUUAGUAGUAUUAUCUGAAAUUGUAAUUAUUUGACUUCUCAAAAUAAAUUUAAAUUGUACAAAUGCAGUUGUUCAGUAUUUAUAUCAUUUGUUAAGAAUUUUUAGAUUUAAAACU
RNAcentral lists this long non-coding RNA (1079 nucleotides) under Pseudonaja textilis. Its description in RNAcentral is "lncRNA (ENSPTXG00000014211.1)". The record is from RNAcentral. Lineage: Eukaryota; Metazoa; Chordata; Lepidosauria; Squamata; Elapidae.